This 508-nucleotide ribosomal RNA is filed under the name uncultured bacterium. RNAcentral's name for it is "bacterial SSU rRNA". It matches the Rfam family "Bacterial small subunit ribosomal RNA", at positions 15 to 518 of the family's 1533-position model. The record is from RNAcentral.
GAUUAUGGCUCAGGAUGAACGCUGGCGGUGUGCCUAAUACAUGCAAGUCGAUCGGGCGUAGCAAUACGUCAGAGGCGUACGGGUGAGUAACACGUAGGUAACCUACCUUUAAGACUGGGAUACCCAGACGAAAGUUUGGCUAAUACCGGAUAACAACAUUUGAGACAUCUCUUUUGUUUGAAAGGCGCUGCAAGGCGCCACUUUUAGAUGGACCUGCGUCGCAUUAGCUAGUUGGUGAGAUAAAAGCCCACCAAGGCUGGGAUGCGUAGCCGAUCUGAGAGGAUGACCGGCCACAAUGGGACUGAGACACGGCCCAUACUCCUACGGGAGGCAGCAGUAGGGAGUUUUCGGCAAUGGGGGAAACCCUGACCGAGCAACACCGCGUGAGUGAUGAAGGUCUUCGGAUCGUAAAGCUCUGUUACGAGGGACGAAUGAUCGCUUUAGGAAAUGAGAGCGGUUUGACGGUACCUCGCCAGAAAGCGACGGCUAACUACGUGCCAGCCGCAGC